Molecule: ribosomal RNA, 757 nt
Filed under: Priestia megaterium
Lineage: Bacteria; Bacillati; Bacillota; Bacilli; Caryophanales; Bacillaceae
Description: bacterial SSU rRNA
Rfam family: Bacterial small subunit ribosomal RNA
Source: RNAcentral
GAUCCGAAUGGGACAAAGUCUGACGGAGCACGCCGCGUGAGUGAUGAAGGCUUUCGGGUCGUAAAACUCUGUUGUUAGGGAAGAACAAGUACGAGAGUAACUGCUCGUACCUUGACGGUACCUAACCAGAAAGCCACGGCUAACUACGUGCCAGCAGCCGCGGUAAUACGUAGGUGGCAAGCGUUAUCCGGAAUUAUUGGGCGUAAAGCGCGCGCAGGCGGUUUCUUAAGUCUGAUGUGAAAGCCCACGGCUCAACCGUGGAGGGUCAUUGGAAACUGGGGAACUUGAGUGCAGAAGAGAAAAGCGGAAUUCCACGUGUAGCGGUGAAAUGCGUAGAGAUGUGGAGGAACACCAGUGGCGAAGGCGGCUUUUUGGUCUGUAACUGACGCUGAGGCGCGAAAGCGUGGGGAGCAAACAGGAUUAGAUACCCUGGUAGUCCACGCCGUAAACGAUGAGUGCUAAGUGUUAGAGGGUUUCCGCCCUUUAGUGCUGCAGCUAACGCAUUAAGCACUCCGCCUGGGGAGUACGGUCGCAAGACUGAAACUCAAAGGAAUUGACGGGGGCCCGCACAAGCGGUGGAGCAUGUGGUUUUAAUUCGAAGCAACGCGAAGAACCUUACCAGGUCUUGACAUCCUCUGACAACUCUAGAGAUAGAGCGUUCCCCCUUCGGGGGGACAGAGUGACAGGUGGUGCAUGGUUUGUCGUCAGCCUCGUGUCGUGAGAUGUUGGGUUUAAGUACCCGACAAACCAAAGCAAC